GAUGAACGCUGGCGGCGUGCUUAACACAUGCAAGUCGAACGAUGAAGCCCAGCUUGCUGGGUGGAUUAGUGGCGAACGGGUGAGUAACACGUGAGUAACCUGCCCUUAACUCUGGGAUAAGCCUGGGAAACUGGGUCUAAUACCGGAUAGGAGCGUCCACCGCAUGGUGGGUGUUGGAAAGAUUUAUCGGUUUUGGAUGGACUCGCGGCCUAUCAGCUUGUUGGUGAGGUAAUGGCUCACCAAGGCGACGACGGGUAGCCGGCCUGAGAGGGUGACCGGCCACACUAGGACUGAGACACGGCCCAGACUCCGACGGGAGGCAGCAGUGGGGAAUGUUGCACAAUGGGCGGAAGCCUGAUGCAGCGACGCCGCGUGGGGGAUGACGGCCUUCGGGUUGUAAACCUCUUUCAGUAGGGAAGAAGCGAAAGUGACGGUACCUGCAGAAGAAGCACCGGCUAACUACGUG
RNAcentral lists this ribosomal RNA (466 nucleotides) under uncultured bacterium. Its description in RNAcentral is "partial 16S ribosomal RNA". It matches the Rfam family "Bacterial small subunit ribosomal RNA", at positions 28 to 507 of the family's 1533-position model. The record is from RNAcentral.